This 586-nucleotide ribosomal RNA is filed under the name uncultured bacterium. RNAcentral describes it as "bacterial SSU rRNA". It matches the Rfam family "Bacterial small subunit ribosomal RNA", at positions 338 to 916 of the family's 1533-position model. The record is from RNAcentral.
CCUACGGGAGGCAGCAGUGGGGAAUUUUGCGCAAUGGGCGAAAGCCUGACGCAGCAACGCCGCGUGAGUGAUGAAGGCUUUCGGGUCGUAAAGCUCUGUCGAGGGGAAAGAAGUGUACGGGGGCUAAUAUCCUCUGUACUUGACGGUACCCCUAAAGGAAGCACCGGCUAACUCCGUGCCAGCAGCCGCGGUAAUACGGGGGGUGCAAGCGUUGUUCGGAAUUAUUGGGCGUAAAGCGCGUGUAGGCGGUCUGAUUAGUCUGAUGUGAAAGCCCUGGGCUCAACCCAGGAAGUGCAUUGGGUACUGUCAGACUUGAAUACGGGAGAGGGUAGUGGAAUUCCUAGUGUAGGAGUGAAAUCCGUAGAUAUUAGGAGGAACACCGGUGGCGAAGGCGGCUACCUGGACCGAUAUUGACGCUGAGACGCGAAAGCGUGGGUAGCAAACAGGAUUAGAUACCCUGGUAGUCCACGCCGUAAACGAUGAGAACUAGGUGUUGCGGGUAUUGACCCCUGCAGUGCCGCAGCUAACGCAUUAAGUUCUCCGCCUGGAAGUACGGUCGCAAGCUAAAACUUAAAUGAAUUGACGG